ACUUUCAUCUUUCAGAGUGGAGAGCUUUCUCUGGGAGAAGGGUUCGAAUCCCAGAAGUCUGAACACUGCCACCCGGUACUUCUUGGACAUGAUGUUGUACAGAAUGGGGUUGAUGGCAGCACUGAGGUAGAAGAGGACAAAGGACACGAGGUUGCAGUACUGGCUGAUCUGAGCAAUCUCCAAGGAGCCAGGCUCAAAGGAUUUGGAAAAUAAAUAUCGCCCUACGUGGAAGGGGAGCCAGCAGAGGAUGAAGGCAAACACCACUACAGCUAAAAGGACAAUGGGAGAGAGAUAGUCAGCUCAAGAAAUGUCACAGCAAAUCACAUUCUAUUUUUAAGACUUUGUUUUUGUUUCAUGGUCUAUGACCAUUGACUUCAGAGAAACAUUGUGUCCUGCUCUUCCUGUUCCAACAUUUUAACAAAGAUUCAGUCUGUCUGGACCAACAGUUCAACAAUUUUUACUGAGCUCCCCAGUCAUUUCUAUUUAACAACUAUCUGAGUGAUUUUGUACUGAGUUGACACAUUGACUCAACUGACUAGACCAUUUAUUCACAAUAGUCCAGCAGUUUUUAUGUGUUAGACACAACAGACACACUUACGAGGUAAAGUGGUUGUACUCAACCAUAGCUGUGUAUCCGAGUCUCCUGGGGCACUUUUUAAAACAAUGCAGAUUCCUUGGAUGUAGUAUAGACUCAGUCAAUUUAAAUCUCUAAGAGGGCGAUCAGGACAUAUGUUUUAUCUUCUCUUUUUUUUUUUUAAGUUUCACAGAGGAUUGAAUAUACAGUUAGGAUUAAGAAUCACUGAGAUGAAUGAUUCUAUGCCACUUACAAUAGACAUAAGUAAGGCUAUUAUUAAACCAACUCAUAUAAAUUAUCAUCCAUCCAAGUCUUCAUUUUGCCUAUGUAAGAUAAUUUUUAAUGAUGUCUAAAUGUUUAGAUUGUUUUAAAUUCAGAAAUCAGGGAAAAAUAAUAACAAAUAAUUUUUUAGUCGUUGUAACACUUUAGUGAUCCCCUUCAAAUUGUCAAGGAAGAAGAAAGUUAACAUUGGUGUUGAGACACCAAUGAAGAAAUUAAUGGCUUGAAAAUAAAAUUGGAGGAAAUUAUUAAACUUAUCCUUAAAACUAAGUUGUAUAGUAGCAACUUAACUGCCACAGUAACAAUGUGACUCUCGUAGG
Molecule: non-coding RNA, 1173 nt
Filed under: Homo sapiens (human)
Lineage: Eukaryota; Metazoa; Chordata; Mammalia; Primates; Hominidae
Source: RNAcentral